GACGAACGCUGGCGGCGUGCCUAAUACAUGCAAGUCGAGCGAGCGGAACUAACAGAUUUACUUCGGUAAUGACGUUAGGAAAGCGAGCGGCGGAUGGGUGAGUAACACGUGGGGAACCUGCCCCAUAGUCUGGGAUACCACUUGGAAACAGGUGCUAAUAUCGGAUAAGAAAGCAGAUCGCAUGAUCAGCUUUUAAAAGGCGGCGUAAGCUGUCGCUAUGGGAUGGCCCCGCGGUGCAUUAGCUAGUUGGUAAGGUAAAGGCUUACCAAGGCGAUGAUGCAUAGCCGAGUUGAGAGACUGAUCGGCCACAUUGGGACUGAGACACGGCCCAAACUCCUACGGGAGGCAGCAGUAGGGAAUCUUCCACAAUGGACGCAAGUCUGAUGGAGCAACGCCGCGUGAGUGAAGAAGGUUUUCGGAUCGUAAAGCUCUGUUGUUGGUGAAGAAGGAUAGAGGUAGUAACUGGCCUUUAUUUGACGGUAAUCAACCAGAAAGUCACGGCUAACUACGUGCCAGCAGCCGCGGUAAUACGUAGGUGGCAAGCGUUGUCCGGAUUUAUUGGGCGUAAAGCGAGCGCAGGCGGAAGAAUAAGUCUGAUGUGAAAGCCCUCGGCUUAACCGAGGAACUGCAUCGGAAACUGUUUUUCUUGAGAGCAGAAGAGGAGAGUGGAACUCCAUGUGUAGCGGUGGAAUGCGUAGAUAUAUGGAAGAACACCAGUGGCGAAGGCGGCUCUCUGGUCUGCAACUGACGCUGAGGCUCGAAAGCAUGGGUAGCGAACAGGAUUAGAUACCCUGGUAGUCCAUGCCGUAAACGAUGAGUGCUAAGUGUUGGGAGGUUUCCGCCUCUCAGUGCUGCAGCUAACGCAUUAAGCACUCCGCCUGGGGAGUACGACCGCAAGGUUGAAACUCAAAGGAAUUGACGGGGGCCCGCACAAGCGGUGGAGCAUGUGGUUUAAUUCGAAGCAACGCGAAGAACCUUACCAGGUCUUGACAUCUAGUGCCAUUUGUAGAGAUACAAAGUUCCCUUCGGGGACGCUAAGACAGGUGGUGCAUGGCUGUCGUCAGCUCGUGUCGUGAGAUGUUGGGUUAAGUCCCGCAACGAGCGCAACCCUUGUUAUUAGUUGCCAGCAUUAAGUUGGGCACUCUAAUGAGACUGCCGGUGACAAACCGGAGGAAGGUGGGGAUGACGUCAAGUCAUCAUGCCCCUUAUGACCUGGGCUACACACGUGCUACAAUGGGCAGUACAACGAGAAGCGAGCCUGCGAAGGCAAGCGAAUCUCUGAAAGCUGUUUUCAGUUCGGACUGCAGUCUGCAACUCGACUGCACGAAGCUGGAAUCGCUAGUAAUCGCGGAUCAGCACGCCGCGGUGAAUACGUUCCCGGGCCU
RNAcentral lists this ribosomal RNA (1385 nucleotides) under uncultured bacterium. Its description in RNAcentral is "bacterial SSU rRNA". It matches the Rfam family "Bacterial small subunit ribosomal RNA", at positions 28 to 1381 of the family's 1533-position model. The record is from RNAcentral.